CCUACGGGAGGCAGCAGUGAGGAAUAUUGGUCAAUGGACGAGAGUCUGAACCAGCCAAGUAGCGUGAAGGAUGACUGCCCUACGGGUUGUAAACUUCUUUUAUAUGGGAAUAAAAUGUUCCACGUGUGGGUUUUUGUAUGUACCAUAUGAAUAAGGAUCGGCUAACUCCGUGCCAGCAGCCGCGGUAAUACGGAGGAUCCGAGCGUUAUCCGGAUUUAUUGGGUUUAAAGGGAGCGUAGGUGGAUUGUUAAGUCAGUUGUGAAAGUUUGCGGCUCAACCGUAAAAUUGCAGUUGAUACUGGCAGUCUUGAGUACAGUAGAGGUAGGCGGAAUUCGUGGUGUAGCGGUGAAAUGCUUAGAUAUCACGAAGAACUCCGAUUGCGAAGGCAGCUCACUGAACUGCAACUGACACUGAGGCUCGAAAGUGUGGGUAUCAAACAGGAUUAGAUACCCCUGUAGUC
This 460-nucleotide ribosomal RNA is filed under the name uncultured bacterium. Its description in RNAcentral is "partial 16S ribosomal RNA". It matches the Rfam family "Bacterial small subunit ribosomal RNA", at positions 338 to 795 of the family's 1533-position model. The record is from RNAcentral.